CCUACGGGGGGCUGCAGUGAGGAAUAUUGGUCAAUGGACGAGAGUCUGAACCAGCCAAGUAGCGUGAAGGAUGACUGCCCUAUGGGUUGUAAACUUCUUUUAUAAAGGAAUAAAACGAGGCACGUGUGCCUUUUUGCAUGUACUUUAUGAAUAAGGAUCGGCUAACUCCGUGCCAGCAGCCGCGGUAAUACGGAGGAUCCGAGCGUUAUCCGGCUUUAUUGGGUUUAAAGGGAGCGUAGAUGGGUUGUUAAGUCAGUUGUGAAAGUUUGCGGCUCAACCGUAAAAUUGCAAUUGAUACUGGCAGUCGUGAGUACAGUUGAGGUAGGCGGAAUGCGUGGUGUAGCGGUGAAAUGCUGAGAUAUCACGAAGAACCCCGAUUGCGAAGGCAGCUUACUAAACUGUGACUGACAUUGAUGCUCGAAAGUGUGGGUAUCAAACAGGAUUAGAUACCCUUGUAGUC
This 460-nucleotide ribosomal RNA is filed under the name uncultured bacterium. RNAcentral describes it as "partial 16S ribosomal RNA". It matches the Rfam family "Bacterial small subunit ribosomal RNA", at positions 338 to 795 of the family's 1533-position model. The record is from RNAcentral.